RNAcentral lists this small RNA (548 nucleotides) under Pan troglodytes (chimpanzee). RNAcentral's name for it is "processed transcript". Lineage: Eukaryota; Metazoa; Chordata; Mammalia; Primates; Hominidae. The record is from RNAcentral.
CAGAGAGUCGAGAGAAGAUUGAAAAUGUACAAAGCAAAUUGAAAUGGACUAAUUUUCCAGGACUUCAGCAGCUCUUUCUUAAGGGUUUUACCUCAGCAUCUACACAAGAAAUGACCGUGCACCUCCUCAGUAAACUCAUUUCUGUCUCCAAACAUACAUUGGUGGAUCCUUCCCAAUUGUCAGGUUUGUGCAGAAGAAAAAUGCCCAACACUUGUCAAUCUGGCACACAUGAUGAGUUUGUACAGUACGCACACGUAUUCCAGAGACUGUUCUAACUGGAUCAAUGUCGUGUGCAGAUACCUGCAUGACUCCUUCUCAGAUACAACAUUUAAUCUUGUGACUUAUCUUGCAGAGCUGUUAGAGAAAGGAUUGUCCAGUAUGCAGCAAUCAUUACUACAGAUUAUUUAUAGUCUAUUGAGUCAUAUUGACCUGUCUGCAGCCCCAGCCAAGCAGUUUAAUCUGGAGAUCAUAAAGAUUAUUGGCAAAUAUGUACAGAGUCCUUACUGGAAGGAAGCCCUUAACAUAUUAAAGCUGGUGGUGUCACGCUC